GACGGAGGAGGCAAGCGUUGUCCGGAAUUAUUGGGCGUAAAGAGCGCGUAGGCUGUUUUUCAAGUCAUGUGUGAAAACAUCAGGCUUAACCUGGUGAUUGCAUAUGAAACUGGAUAACUUGAGUACAGCAGAGGAAAGUGGAAUUCCUGGUGUAGCGGUGAAAUGCGCAGAUAUCAGGAAGAACACCAGUGGCGAAGGCGGCUUUCUGGGCUGUUACUGACGCUGAGGCGCGAAAGCUAGGGGAGCGAACAGGAUUAGAUACCCUCGUA
Molecule: ribosomal RNA, 269 nt
Filed under: uncultured prokaryote
Description: partial 16S ribosomal RNA
Rfam family: Bacterial small subunit ribosomal RNA
Source: RNAcentral